RNAcentral lists this ribosomal RNA (585 nucleotides) under uncultured bacterium. Its description in RNAcentral is "partial 16S ribosomal RNA". It matches the Rfam family "Bacterial small subunit ribosomal RNA", at positions 355 to 1375 of the family's 1533-position model. The record is from RNAcentral.
UGGGGAAUUUUGGACAAUGGGCGAAAGCCUGAUCCAGCAAUGCCGCGUGUGUGAAGAAGGCCUUCGGGUUGUAAAGCACUUUUGUCCGGAAAGAAAUCCUUGGCUCUAAUACAGUCGGGGGAUGACGGUACCGGAAGAAUAAGCACCGGCUAACUACGUGCCAGCAGCCGCGGUAAUACGUAGGGUGCAAGCGUUAAUCGGAAUUACUGGGCGUAAAGCGUGCGCAGGCGGUUUGCUAAGACCGAUGUGAAAUCCCCGGGCUCAACCUGGGAACUGCAUUGGUGACUGGCAGGCUAGAGUAUGGCAGAGGGGGGUAGAAUUCCACGUGUAGCAGUGAAAUGCGUAGAGAUGUGGAGGAAUACCGAUGGCGAAGGCAGCCCCCUGGGGCCAAUACUGACGCUCAUGCACGAAAGCGUGGGGAGCAAACAGGAUUAGAUACCCUGGUAGUCCACGCCCUAAACGAUGUCAACUAGUUGUUGGGGAUUCAUUCCUUAGUAACGUAGCUAACGCGUGAAGUUGACCGCCUGGGGAGUACGGUCGCAAGAUUAAAACUCAAAUGAAUUGACGGGGUCAUAGCUGUUUCCU